GAUUAACGCUGGCGGCGUGCAUAACACAUUCCUUUCGAACGGAGAGGGAGGACUUCGGUUCUCCCGAUCAGUGGCGGACGGGUGAGUAACGCGUGAGCAACCUGCUCUUGUGUGCGGGAUACCAACUGGAAACGGUUGUUAAUACCGCAUGACCCAAUAGUAUCGCAUGGUACAGUUGGCAAAGAUUUAUUGCACAAGGAUGGGCUCGCGUCUGAUUAGAUAGUUGGUGAGGUAACGGCUCACCAAGUCGACGAUCAGUAGCCGGACUGAGAGGUUGAACGGCCACAUUGGAACUGAGAUACGGUCCAGACUCCUACGGGAGGCAGCAGUGGGGAAUAUUGGGCAAUGGGCGAAAGCCUGACCCAGCGACGCCGCGUGAGGGAAGAAGGCCUUCGGAUUGUAAACCUUAAACAACAGGGACGAAACAAAUGACGGUACCUGUUAGGAAGCCACGGCUAACUACGUGCCAGCAGCCGCGGUAAUACGUAGGUGGCAAGCGUUAUCCGGAUUUACUGGGUGUAAAGGGUGUGUAGGCGGAGAGGCAAGUCAGGCGUGAAAAUUACGGGCUCAACCCGUAACCUGCGCUUGAAACUGUUUCCCUUGAGUGUCGGAGAGGUAAACGGAAUUCCUGGUGUAGCGGUGAAAUGCGUAGAUAUCAGGAGGAACACCGGUGGCGAAGGCGGUUUACUGGACGACAACUGACGCUGAGACACGAAAGUGUGGGGAGCAAACAGGAUUAGAUACCCUGGUAGUCCACACCGUAAACGAUGAAUGCUAGGUGUAGGGGCGCAAGCCUCUGUGCCGCAGCUAACGCAAUAAGCAUUCCACCUGGGGAGUACGGCCGCAAGGUUGAAACUCAAAGGAAUUGACGGGAGCCCGCACAAGCAGUGGAGUAUGUGGUUUAAUUCGAAGCAACGCGAAGAACCUUACCAGGUCUUGACAUCCUCUGAAAACCCUAGAGAUAGGGCGUUCCCCUUCGGGGGACAGAGUGACAGGUGGUGCAUGGUUGUCGUCAGCUCGUGUCGUGAGAUGUUGGGUUAAGUCCCGCAACGAGCGCAACCCCUAUUGUUAGUUGCUACGCAAGAGCACUCUAGCGAGACUGCCGUUGACAAAACGGAGGGAGGCGGGGACGACGUCAAAUCAUCAUGCCCCUUAUGUCCUGGGCUACACACGUAAUACAAUGGCCGUCAACAAAGGGAAGCAAUACUGCGAAGUGGAGCAAAUCCCCAAAAACGGUCUCAGUUCGGAUUGCAGGCUGCAACUCGCCUGCAUGAAGCUGGAAUAGCUAGUAAUCGUGGAUCAGCAAGCCACGGUGAA
This 1317-nucleotide ribosomal RNA is filed under the name uncultured bacterium. RNAcentral's name for it is "bacterial SSU rRNA". It matches the Rfam family "Bacterial small subunit ribosomal RNA", at positions 28 to 1366 of the family's 1533-position model. The record is from RNAcentral.